Molecule: long non-coding RNA, 274 nt
Organism: Gossypium arboreum
Lineage: Eukaryota; Viridiplantae; Streptophyta; Magnoliopsida; Malvales; Malvaceae
Exons: 2
Source: RefSeq, a predicted model, not a curated record
GUUAGAUUAACGUGUUAGUAAUCCAAUUGUAGGCGGUUCGUGUGUGGAUCUCGUCAGCAUAUCGUCGCAAAUAGGUAAUCCCCAACCAUAGUGGGCUUGGAGCUGUGAGGGAAUUCGGAGUGGCCACCCGUUCUGAAAGUUUGAUUUUCUUCUGGUGAACUGGACAUCCUUUUAAUUACGUUUGAGGUUUUGGGCUUUUAAAUGUAAUAAGGCCGCUUAUUUAUUUUUGAUGGUUUUUAUAUGUUUUAUUAAGAUAGGUAAUAUUUAUAUUUAA